CCUACGGGUGGCAGCAGUGGGGAAUAUUGCACAAUGGGCGCAAGCCUGAUGCAGCCAUGCCGCGUGUAUGAAGAAGGCCUUAGGAUUGUAAAGUACUUUCAGUUGGGAGGAAGGCGUUGAUGCUAAUAUCAUCAACGAUUGACGUUACCAACAGAAGAAGCACCGGCUAACUCCGUGCCAGCAGCCGCGGUAACACGGAGGGUGCAAGCGUUAAUCGGAAUUACUGGGCGUAAAGCGCACGCAGGCGGUUGAUUAAGUUAGAUGUGAAAUCCCCGGGCUUAACCUGGGAAUGGUAUCUAAGACUGGUCAGCUAGAGUCUUGUAGAGGGGGGUAGAAUUCCAUGUGUAGCGGUGAAAUGCGUAGAGAUGUGGAGGAAUACCGGUGGCGAAGGCGGCCCCCUGGACUAAGACUGACGCUCAGGUGCGAAAGCGUGGGGAGCAAACAGGAUUAGAUACCCCCGUAGUC
Molecule: ribosomal RNA, 465 nt
Filed under: uncultured bacterium
Lineage: Bacteria
Description: bacterial SSU rRNA
Rfam family: Bacterial small subunit ribosomal RNA
Source: RNAcentral